AGCAAGGCAAACAGUACAGCACUUCUCUGUUAAGAGGAAACAAUAUCAUCUUCCAGAAAAUCAUAAAUAAGCUCCUGGAAACCAGGGAUCUUGUAUCUCCUUGGAGGUAAGCCUCACAGGCUGCAGUAUCAUCACGAGUGGAAGUCCCCAACUGCUGUACACCAGGGAGAGUCUCAGUCAUCUCCACCCGCUAUCUACAAGGCGAUUCUCUGUGCUGGUGGAAGAAGAAUGGAGAGAAAUGGGAAUGAAGGACAGACACAGACACACGGCUUCAGCUCCUACCUUCAGCCUGACUUUCACCACUCUCCCUAUGCCAAUAGAGUGGCGUCACAGGCUGAUUCCAUACAUGCCCAAAGCCUCUAUCCUGACACGUACCAUACGCCCUCCAGCCUAGCCUGCCACUGGGUCUAAGAUGUGGUCCGUCUCCCACUCCCCAGGGACGUACUCACCUCGGCAGUCUUUGCACAACGCCUUCAGCCUCUGCCUUUUGAUACCAUCCCAUGAGAGGCGGAUCCCACAAUUCUCACAGCACCUACAAGGGAAAGAGCCGAGAUCAGUGCUCCCAAUCCCAAGCCUCACCCGCAUGGCUCACCUUACACCCACACUCACCCAAGUGCAGGUAAUGAGGCUGGAGCUGUGCCUGUGCCUGUGGCAGAGCCAGAGCCAACAGCAGCGCUGGUGCCAGCCUUAUGCUCCUUCCGGGGAGUCUCCUUCCUGGUCUCACUCUUCUGGGGCCCAACCUGACGUUUCUUAGCCUUGGCUGGUUUAGAAGGCUUCUUUUUCUUCUUGCUGGGGGCAGGCAAGGGAUGGGUCUGGAGGUGAAGACAGCAAGAAUGUGAGUCAGUGCACGGGUGCCACGUGACUCAGUUGCCCCUGCACAGAUACUGAUAUUGUGAAGUACCUUGGGAACUGGAUAGCACAAGAUGCCUUGUCUGAAGUCGAAGAGGGUAAGGUCACAUGCAGGGCCCAGGUAUCGGGUCAGCUCAACUUUGCUUCGAAUCUUCUCUCCUGUGGGGCUGAGAAUGAACCAGAACGAAUUGGCUCCAAGAUGGCGCUAAUGUCAUGCCACCCACAGAACAUCCCCACGGUGAGAUGUAGGAAGCAGUCUGGAUUCAGCCUGUGAGCCUCACCCAAGUCCUUCAAUAUAACUAACAGGAAUACAAAAUAUGAAUAUAAAUACCAGCAUGCAUACAAAUGUUAAUAAAUACAACUGUGAACCUCAUUUUGAUCCAUGACAUCACAUAUUCUAUGGUAAUCACAUAGAAUUAUAAUGCAGGGGAAAAUUCUAUUAUCUGACAAUACUGUAAUAAUGUUAAUGUCAUAACACAAAACAGUAUUCAGGCACCUGUAGUGGUGUAUACAAAAGUAUAUACACAAGUGAUGUAUAAAAGAGUAAACAAGCCUAGUGUAUUGCACAUUGAUGUACAGUACAUGCUUGGUUAAUAAUAAUUACAAUUACUUGUUUAUAAACUUAGUGAUUCUUAUCAUUAUUUUAGAGUCCUACUUAACAAAAAAAUUAAUGUACUGUGAAACUGCAAUGUUAGACUAGUGGUAACCUAAUAUAAUUAAAUGGUUACUGCUUCUUUUGACUUCAUAA
Long non-coding RNA from Peromyscus eremicus (cactus mouse), 1597 nucleotides. RefSeq lists it as uncharacterized. The transcript is spliced from 2 exons. The record is from RefSeq and is a predicted model, not a curated record. NCBI's taxonomy places the organism in Eukaryota, Metazoa, Chordata, Mammalia, Rodentia, Cricetidae.